CGGCCUUCUGGACAGUACUGACGCUGAGAUGCGAAAGCGUGGGGAGCAAACAGGAUUAGAUACCUGGUAGUCACGCUGUAAACGAUGUCGAUUUGGAGUUUGUUGCCUAGAGUGAUGGGCUCCGAAGCUAACGCGAUAAAUCGACCGCUGGGGAGUACGGCCGCAAGGUUAAAACUCAAAUGAAUUGACGGGGGCCCGCACAAGCGGUGGAGCAUGUGGUUUAAUUCGAUGCAACGCGAAGAACCUUACCUGGUCUUGACAUCCAUAGAAUUCUGCAGAGAUGUGGGAGUGCCUUCGGGAACUAUGAGACAGGUGCUGCAUGGCUGUCGUCAGCUCGUGUUGUGAAAUGUUGGGUUAAGUCCCGCAACGAGCGCAACCCUUAUUCUUUGUUGCCAGCGAUUUGGUCGGGAACUCAAAGGAGACUGCCGUUGAUAAAGCGGAGGAAGGUGGGGACGACGUCAAGUCAUCAUGGCCCUUACGACCAGGGCUACACACGUGCUACAAUGGCGUAUACAAAGGGAAGCGAAGGUGCGAGCUGGAGCGGAUCUCAUAAAGUACGUCUAAGUUCGGAUUGGAGUCUGCAACUCGACUCCAUGAAGUCGGAAUCGCUAGUAAUCGUAGAUCAGAAUGCUACGGUGAAUACGUUCCCGGGCCUUGUACACACCGCCCGUCACACCAUGGGAGUGGGUUGCACCAGAAGUAGAUAGCUUAACCGCGAGGGGGGCGUUUACCACGGUGUGAUUCAUGACUGGGGUGAAGUCGUAACAAGGUAACCA
Molecule: ribosomal RNA, 776 nt
Filed under: uncultured Enterobacteriaceae bacterium
Lineage: Bacteria; Pseudomonadati; Pseudomonadota; Gammaproteobacteria; Enterobacterales; Enterobacteriaceae
Description: bacterial SSU rRNA
Rfam family: Bacterial small subunit ribosomal RNA
Source: RNAcentral